This 253-nucleotide ribosomal RNA is filed under the name uncultured bacterium. RNAcentral's name for it is "partial 16S ribosomal RNA". It matches the Rfam family "Bacterial small subunit ribosomal RNA", at positions 524 to 776 of the family's 1533-position model. The record is from RNAcentral.
GACGUAGGGGGCCAGCGUUGUUCGGCAUUACUGGGUGUAAAGGGUUCGUAGGCGGUGUGGCAAGUUGGGAGUGAAAUCUCUGGGCUCAACCCAGAGGCUGCUUCCAAAACUGCCAUGCUUGAGUGUGGGAGAGGCGCGUGGAAUUGCAGGUGUAGCGGUGAAAUGCGUAGAGAUGUGCAGGAACACCCGUGGCGAAAGCGGCGCGCUGGACCACAACUGACGCUGAGGAGCGAAAGCGAGGGGAGCAAACAGG